Molecule: ribosomal RNA, 492 nt
Filed under: uncultured bacterium
Lineage: Bacteria
Description: partial 16S ribosomal RNA
Rfam family: Bacterial small subunit ribosomal RNA
Source: RNAcentral
GGUGAACGCUGGCGGUGGGCCUAACACAUGCAAGUCGAGCGGCCGCACGGUAAGAGCUUGCUCUUACGGGUGGCGAGUGGCGGACGGGUGAGACAUACAUCGGCUUCUACUUUUUCUUGGGGGAUAACGUAGGGAAACUUACGCUACUACCUCAUACGACCUACGGGUUGAAGCAGGGGAUCUUCGGACCUUUCGCGAUACAUUGAGCCGAGGUCGGAUUAGCUAGUUGGCUGGGUAAAGGCCCACCAAGGCGACGAUGCGUAGCUGGUCUGAGAGGAUGAUCAGCCACACUGGAACUGAGACACGGUCCAGACUCCUACGGGAGGCAGCAGUAGGGAAUAUUGGACAAUGGGCGCAAGCCUGACCCAGCCACGCCGCGUGAGUGAUGAAGGCCUUCGGGUCGUAAAGCUCUGUUAUUGGGGAAGAACAGCUGCGUAUGUAACUACGCACGUUUUGACGGUACCCAAAGAGAAAGCAACGGCUAACUUCGUG